GCGACCCCAGGUCAGGCGGGACUACCCGCUGAGUUUAAGCAUAUAAAUAAGCGGAGGAGAAGAAACUUACAAGGAUUCCCCUAGUAACGGCGA
This 93-nucleotide ribosomal RNA is filed under the name Poa flabellata. Its description in RNAcentral is "partial 26S ribosomal RNA". It matches the Rfam family "Eukaryotic large subunit ribosomal RNA", at positions 1 to 92 of the family's 3401-position model. The record is from RNAcentral. RNAcentral also lists the same sequence under 1 other name. Lineage: Eukaryota; Viridiplantae; Streptophyta; Magnoliopsida; Poales; Poaceae.